GGAGCCGGGAUUUCGCACAGGUUUUUCAAACUUUCGAAGAAAUUUUAGAGGAAGCAAACACCAAAGACGAUUGAAGAGCCUGGUCAAGGGCGUGGUUGUUCACGCACCUAACUGGAUGCAAGGUAUCGGCAGCCUAAUUUCGGCAGCCGG
This is a long non-coding RNA of Archocentrus centrarchus (flier cichlid), 150 nucleotides long. RefSeq lists it as uncharacterized. The transcript is spliced from 3 exons. Lineage: Eukaryota; Metazoa; Chordata; Actinopteri; Cichliformes; Cichlidae. The record is from RefSeq and is a predicted model, not a curated record.